UCCUCCCAAAGCGUAACGGAGGAGCACGAAGGUUAGCUAAUCCUGGUCGGACAUCAGGAGGUUAGUGCAAUGGCAUAAGCUAGCUUGACUGCGAGCGUGACGGCGCGAGCAGGUGCGAAAGCAGGUCAUAGUGAUCCGGUGGUUCUGAAUGGAAGGGCCAUCGCUCAACGGAUAAAAGGUACUCCGGGGAUAACAGGCUGAUACCGCCCAAGAGUUCAUAUCGACGGCGGUGUUUGGCACCUCGAUGUCGGCUCAUCACAUCCUGGGGCUGAAGUAGGUCCCAAGGGUAUGGCUGUUCGCCAUUUAAAGUGGUACGCGAGCUGGGUUUAGAACGUCGUGAGACAGUUCGGUCCCUAUCUGCCGUGGGCGCUGGAGAAUUGAGGGGGGCUGCUCCUAGUACGAGAGGACCGGAGUGGACGCAUCACUGGUGUUCGGGUUGUCAUGCCAAUGGCACUGCCCGGUAGCUAAAUGCGGAAGAGAUAAGUGCUGAAAGCAUCUAAGCACGAAACUUGCCCCG
Molecule: ribosomal RNA, 517 nt
Filed under: Klebsiella pneumoniae
Lineage: Bacteria; Pseudomonadati; Pseudomonadota; Gammaproteobacteria; Enterobacterales; Enterobacteriaceae
Also listed under: 2 other names
Description: partial 23S ribosomal RNA
Rfam family: Bacterial large subunit ribosomal RNA
Source: RNAcentral